Long non-coding RNA from Felis catus (domestic cat), 894 nucleotides. RefSeq lists it as uncharacterized. Lineage: Eukaryota; Metazoa; Chordata; Mammalia; Carnivora; Felidae. The transcript is spliced from 3 exons. The record is from RefSeq and is a predicted model, not a curated record.
UCUUGUCUGUCUAUGCAUAGAGUGUUCUUUCUUUUCAGGGUACUAGCAUUCACCAGGGUACUGGUCUUGAGAUCCAAAAAGAGAAUCUACCCAGAUCCUAUCAGGAAAAUCUGCUUUAUAAUUCCCUGAAGCCAUACACAACAGAUGCUCCAUUAUAUAUAACCUGGAUUCUUGAAAUAAAACAUGACUGAAUUCAAAGAACAUUUAGGUAAACCUGGGUGACCUGAUUACACCGUUUUAACGCUCUAACUAAGGUCGAGGGCUGCCCAUGAUUUCAUCAUAAAUUAGGCAAGUAUUUGAGGGAAAUUCUUAAAAAAGAACGGCAUGUCCUCACGUACGGAUCAGCAAGUGAGCAAUGUUCCUGCUGUGCUUUAGAAAGAGGUGCCAGCUCGAUGAGAUGCUGUCGACAUGACAGAAAGCCACCUGCUGCCAAUUUCUACUUCCCAGUAUGAAAACCAGUCUUCUCGAGGAUUAUCGCUGCUGGUAGGAGACAGAAAAUUGCCCCUGCCCUUGCUGACUGUGGUUAACUGGUCGGGGAGCUUCGUAUCCUGGGUCUUGGAAAAUUCAGAGGGGUACAAAGACACAAAAUGACAGGAAGAGGUCGGGACACCCUGUGACAAUGGAGAACACAGCCACGUAUUCUACAUACUCAUCUGGCAUGAGAGCUACCAGUGGAAUUCAUGCCCAGAAAGUUUCAGAGGGACCCUCAAGGGCAGCUUUUUACCAGGUUCCAAGGAUGCUUCAGGCAACUUCCCAACAUCUACAGCAGUAUCAUCUGCAGGUGGCUUCCUGGUGGCUUUCCAGUGAGUCCUACUGAUGCCACAGCCAAUUCCCCGCGCCUGGGUAGCUCAGUCAGUUAAGCGUCUGACUUCAGCUCAGGUCAUGAUCUCACGG